This is a long non-coding RNA of Vespa mandarinia (Asian giant hornet), 977 nucleotides long. The record is from RefSeq and is a predicted model, not a curated record. NCBI's taxonomy places the organism in Eukaryota, Metazoa, Arthropoda, Insecta, Hymenoptera, Vespidae.
AAAAAUCGAUUCUCUCUCUCUCUCUCUCUCUCUCUCCCUCUUUCUCUUUAUCUUUUUCUCUCUUCUUCUUUUCUCUAAUAAAUAUCAUAUAAAAUACAUUGAAAAGAGAUCGUCCGAUGAAAAGCAUGAUUCGUUUCACGAUCGAGUCUCGGAUGACGACGUUCCGGAAAACGUAUCUUAUUUUCAGUGUGCCCGACUAAAUUUAGUCGCUUCUCUUCUCUACCCUUCUUCGUAUUCUCCCUUUUCUCCCUCCUGCUUGCUCAGCUUUGCUAAUGGUUGCUAGUUGUACUUUACGGUCACGUUUUAGUUAAUCACUAUGUAGUAGUUUAUAAUAAAGGUGUUCGGUUUAACAUCAUUUCAAAGGCUAAAAAUGAAUACACGUGACUCGUAAGAAGUUGAAAGGCAGUAACGUUAGGAAACUAGAGGAUUUCUAAAUCGGAUCGUAAGGUCCCUUCCAUCCUCGAAGUUCAUGCUGUUAACGCGGCUAACGUAGCUCGACAAAGGUACUCGAGUUUAUUUGAGCUUCGAUUCGAUUGGGAGCAGCUGCUGGGUACCUAAGUAUAGCUUGCAUGUGUAGUGUUCUCUCUCUUUCUCUCUCUCUCUCUCUCUCUCUCUCUCUCUCUCUCUCUCUCUCUCUCUCUCUCUCUCUCUCAAUCUCUAUCUCUCUCUCAUUCGUUUAGAAGAUAUAACAUGACGAUCGAUCAGUCUGUCGCUUUUCGUUCGAAUCCAAUCAGAUUGAUAAAAAUAACUAAAACCAUAUUUUCCAGAUCUUGUGCAAAACAAAAACAAAAAAGGAAAAGAAAAAGAAAAUAAAAUGAAGAAAAAAAAAAAUAGAAUCUCAUAACUUCGACGAAGAAAACGAUUCUCUCGAGAUUAUUCGCUUGAUAUUCUAAUAAAACUGUUUCCUUAUUUUCCAGAAGAUUUCCUUUGGGAUAUCGUUGAAAAAAGAAAAUUACAAAUAUAUAUAUAUAUAUAUA